Molecule: long non-coding RNA, 838 nt
Organism: Prinia subflava (tawny-flanked prinia)
Lineage: Eukaryota; Metazoa; Chordata; Aves; Passeriformes; Cisticolidae
Exons: 4
Source: RefSeq, a predicted model, not a curated record
CCUGCCCAGGGGCUGCUGCUGACGGGCUCCUCCCCUCCGGCACCUGCGGGCAGGGAGCAGCUGAGCCCAGACCGAACCCCCAGCGGGGCGGGAGCGGGGCUAAGGCAGCUCCUGGGCUGCGGCUGCUGCAGGAAUGGGACCCAUCUCUGGUGACUCCCUCGGGGCUGUCCCCUGCUAAUGGCCAUCAGACCCUCUGCGUGAGCCAUAAAUGACAUCAUCCCCGGACACGCUCCGCCCAGGGGAGGAACCGGGCACUCCUGCCCGGUAUCGCUGAGCCUCCGGCACCUGCAGCACCGUGCCUGCCGCAUUCCCAGAGGAGAGGAGCUCCACGGUCACCACGGGACCUUCAGAGGAGGAGCAGAGCCUUCUGCAGGGUCACCUCUCCAUCAGAACCACCCCCGAGGGCUGCAGCCACCUGAGCUGGACUGGUACCACGCCCUGACCGACAGGCUGCCAGGGACCCCAGGAGGGGAGCAGCGUGUACCUGACCAGCAUUGGAGGGGCCCUGCCUCUGGCCAGGGGGGGAGGACAGGGGCACUGGGAUCUUUGUGUGGAUCCUUGGCCUGGACCUCUGACCACAGAGAUUUGGGCUCAGCUCUGGUGGACACUGAGGCCGUGCAGGGACACCGCUGGGCUCGUGGGGGAGCUGCUGUGGGGACAGAGGGCAGCAGACCCCUGCACACCCUGCCUGCCCUCUCAGCUGGGCCCGGUGCUGGGGCUGCUGGGAGCUGAGAACAGCAGGGACACAGGUACACAAUUCUCAGAACAGGAAUGUGCUGAACAACACCUCAACAACGACAAAGUGCUGCGCUUUUUUUUUUUUUCUUGAUGAAAACAA